Oryctolagus cuniculus (rabbit) is the source of this 685-nucleotide non-coding RNA. Lineage: Eukaryota; Metazoa; Chordata; Mammalia; Lagomorpha; Leporidae. The record is from RefSeq and is a predicted model, not a curated record.
CUGCUAAUGCACCUGAGAAGGUAGCAGAGGACAGCCCAACUACUUGGGUCACUUCCACGCCUAUAGAAGAUCAAGUCAUAUUUCCAGGCUCCUAGCAUCAGCCCAGACCAGACUCUGCUGUUGCCAUUAUUUAUACAGCGCUCAUCUGUGCUCAUCACAUUUCGGUGGUGAUAAAGGAAAACCAAGAGAGACCUGGUGGAGAAGGCAUUGAAUGACUGAUAAAUUUCCUAUAGCCCCUGAAGAUGAAUAAUACAUAAACAAGACCUUCAAAGAUCUCUGUACCGGAAGGGAUCUGCCUCUACACAGUCAUGCCUCAGUACCAGCAGGGGACUGGGGAUUGCUUCCAGGACCCCAUGGACACCAAAACCAGCAGAUGCUUCAGCAGUUUUUUUUCCCAUGAACUAUAUAUUUUAUUUGUUAAAAAACCUUGAUUAUAUCCAUUUCCAAAAGACGUACACACUUAAAAAGAAAUACACAGUAAUAGAAAAAUGCCUAGUAUUUGUGCUUUUCCUAAACGCACAAAACAUCUGUUGUACAGUGUUUAUUAUAUGGAUGCUACUUAUUAUUCAAAUGGAUUAAGCAUUUUUGUAACAAUUACAGUAAACUAAUCAACUUAAUAUCUGACUCCCCUCAAAAUCACAUUUGUAGUGUUUAAUAAACUAUUCCUUACUGUUAUUUCCUUAGA